This 305-nucleotide ribosomal RNA is filed under the name uncultured bacterium. RNAcentral's name for it is "bacterial SSU rRNA". It matches the Rfam family "Bacterial small subunit ribosomal RNA", at positions 333 to 655 of the family's 1533-position model. The record is from RNAcentral.
GUAAGCCUACGGGAGGCAGCAGUAGGGAAUAUUGCUCAAUGGGGGAAACCCUGAAGCAGCAACGCCGCGUGGAGGAUGAAGGUUUUCGGAUUGUAAACUCCUCUUGUUAGAGAAGAUAAUGACGGUAUCUAACGAAUAAGCACCGGCUAACUCCGUGCCAGCAGCCUCGGUAAUACGGAGGGUGCAAGCGUUACUCGGAAUCACUGGGCGUAAAGAGCGCGUAGGCGGGAUAGCAAGUCAGAUGUGAGAUCCUAUGGCUUAACCAUAGAACUGCAUUUGAAACUGUUAUUCUAGAGUAUGGGAGG